Molecule: ribosomal RNA, 256 nt
Filed under: uncultured bacterium
Lineage: Bacteria
Description: partial 16S ribosomal RNA
Rfam family: Bacterial small subunit ribosomal RNA
Source: RNAcentral
CGGACGGGUGAGUAACGCGUGGGCAACCUGCCCUUAUCUGGGGGAUAACAGUUGGAAACGGCUGAUAAUACCGCAUAAUAUGGGUUUGAAGGCAUCUUCUUUCCAUCAAAGAUUUAUCGGAUAAGGAUGGGCCCGCGUCUGAUUAGCUUGUUGGUGAGGUAACGGCUCACCAAGGCGACGAUCAGUAGCCGACCUGAGAGGGUGAUCGGCCACAUUGGAGCUGAGACACGGUCCAAACUCCUACGGGAGGCAGCAG